AGCGAACGCUGGCGGCAGGCCUAACACAUGCAAGUCGAACGAACUCUUCGGAGUUAGUGGCGGACGGGUGAGUAACACGUGGGAACGUGCCUUUUGGUUCGGAAUAACUCAGGGAAACUUGUGCUAAUACCGAAUGUGCCCUUCGGGGGAAAGAUUUAUCGCCAUUAGAGCGGCCCGCGUCUGAUUAGCUAGUUGGUGAGGUAACGGCUCACCAAGGCGACGAUCAGUAGCUGGUCUGAGAGGAUGACCAGCCACACUGGGACUGAGACACGGCCCAGACUCCUACGGGAGGCAGCAGUGGGGAAUCUUGCGCAAUGGGCGAAAGCCUGACGCAGCCAUGCCGCAUGAAUGAUGAAGGUCUUAGGAUUGUAAAAUUCUUUCACCGGGGACGAUAAUGACGGUACCCGGAGAAGAAGCCCCGGCUAACUUCGUG
RNAcentral lists this ribosomal RNA (433 nucleotides) under uncultured bacterium. RNAcentral describes it as "partial 16S ribosomal RNA". It matches the Rfam family "Bacterial small subunit ribosomal RNA", at positions 29 to 507 of the family's 1533-position model. The record is from RNAcentral.